UACGUAGGGUGCGAGCGUUAAUCGGAAUUACUGGGCGUAAAGCGUGCGCAGGCGGCGCGUUAAGACAGGUGUGAAAGCCCCGAGCUUAACUUGGGAAUUGCGCUUGUGACUGGCGUGCUGGAGUGUGGCAGAGGGAGGUGGAAUUCCACGUGUAGCAGUGAAAUGCGUAGAUAUCAGGAGGAACACCUGUGGUGUAGACAGCUUACUGGACCACUUCUGACGCUGAGACACGAAAGCGUGGGUAGCAAACAGG
Molecule: ribosomal RNA, 253 nt
Filed under: uncultured bacterium
Lineage: Bacteria
Description: partial 16S ribosomal RNA
Rfam family: Bacterial small subunit ribosomal RNA
Source: RNAcentral